UUAAUUGCCCAGAUGUUGUCAGGUUAGCUAC
RNAcentral lists this non-coding RNA (31 nucleotides) under Rattus norvegicus (Norway rat). The record is from RNAcentral. Lineage: Eukaryota; Metazoa; Chordata; Mammalia; Rodentia; Muridae.